This 44-nucleotide non-coding RNA is filed under the name Schistosoma mattheei. Lineage: Eukaryota; Metazoa; Platyhelminthes; Trematoda; Strigeidida; Schistosomatidae. The record is from RNAcentral.
AUCUAGCUGACAAGUUCCAAUAGGACGAAAUGUGUAUCCUGGAU